RNAcentral lists this small RNA (125 nucleotides) under Marmota monax (woodchuck). Lineage: Eukaryota; Metazoa; Chordata; Mammalia; Rodentia; Sciuridae. The record is from RNAcentral.
GCCUGGUGCUGUGGUGCAUGCCUGUAAUCCCAGCUGCUGGGGAGGCUGAGGCAGGAGGAUCACAAGUUCAAAGCCCACCUCAGCAAAAGCGAGGCACUAAGCAAUUCAGUGAGACCCAGUCUCUA